AUGAGCAGAUCAGGGCAGCCACCGGAUUUGAAAAAGUACAUGGACAAACAGCUUCAAAUCAAGCUGAAUGCAAAUCGCAUGAUUGUUGGUACUCUCCGAGGCUUUGACCAGUUUAUGAAUUUGGUUGUUGACAACACUGUGGAGGUGAAUGGCAAUGAGAAAAAUGACAUAGGAAUGGUGGUAAUUAGAGGAAAUAGUGUGGUAACUGUAGAGGCACUUGAACCAGUGAACAGGAGCAUUUGA
Vicia faba (fava bean) is the source of this 243-nucleotide non-coding RNA. Lineage: Eukaryota; Viridiplantae; Streptophyta; Magnoliopsida; Fabales; Fabaceae. The record is from the annotation of a GenBank genome assembly.